RNAcentral lists this ribosomal RNA (685 nucleotides) under Sarocladium strictum. RNAcentral's name for it is "partial large subunit ribosomal RNA". It matches the Rfam family "Eukaryotic large subunit ribosomal RNA", at positions 76 to 790 of the family's 3401-position model. Lineage: Eukaryota; Fungi; Ascomycota; Sordariomycetes; Hypocreales; Sarocladiaceae. The record is from RNAcentral.
UGCCUCAGUAACGGCGAGUGAAGCGGCAACAGCUCAAAUUUGAAAUCUGGCCUCACGGUCCGAGUUGUAAUUUGUAGAGGAUGCUUUUGGCGAGGUGCUUUCCGAGUUCCCUGGAACGGGACGCCAUAGAGGGUGAGAGCCCCGUACGGUAAGACCACCGAGCCUCUGUAAAGCUCCUUCGACGAGUCGAGUAGUUUGGGAAUGCUGCUCUAAAUGGGAGGUGUACGUCUUCUAAAGCUAAAUACCGGCCAGAGACCGAUAGCGCACAAGUAGAGUGAUCGAAAGAUGAAAAGCACUUUGAAAAGAGGGUUAAAAAGUACGUGAAAUUGUUGAAAGGGAAGCAUUCAUGACCAGACUUGGGCUUGGUUGAACAUCCGGCGUUCUCGCCGGUGCACUCUGCCAGUCCAGGCCAGCAUCAGUUUGCCCCGGGGGACAAAGGCGGUGGGAAUGUGGCUCCCUUCGGGGAGUGUUAUAGCCCGCCGUGUAAUGCCCUGGGGCGGACUGAGGAACGCGCUUCGGCACGGAUGCUGGCGUAAUGGUCAUCAAUGACCCGUCUUGAAACACGGACCAAGGAGUCGUCUUCGUAUGCGAGUGUUCGGGUGUCAAACCCCUACGCGUAAUGAAAGUGAACGUAGGUGAGAGCUUCGGCGCAUCACCGACCGAUCCUGAUGUUCUCGGAUGGAUU